RNAcentral lists this ribosomal RNA (387 nucleotides) under Acrosiphonia sp. RNAcentral's name for it is "partial small subunit ribosomal RNA". It matches the Rfam family "Eukaryotic small subunit ribosomal RNA", at positions 582 to 975 of the family's 1831-position model. The record is from RNAcentral. Lineage: Eukaryota; Viridiplantae; Chlorophyta; Ulvophyceae; Ulotrichales; Ulotrichaceae.
AUUCCAGCUCCAAUAGCGUAUAUUUAAGUUGUUGCAGUUAAAAAGCUCGUAGUUGGAUUUCGGGUGGGUACCGCCGGUCUCCCUUCGGGUAUGUACUGGCGUGGCCCGCCUUGCUGUCGGGGACGGUCUCCUGGGCUUUAUUGUCCGGGAAUCGGAGUCGACGAUGUUACUUUGAGUAAAUUAGAGUGUUCAAAGCAAGCCUACGCUCUGAAUAUAAUAGCAUGGGAUAACACGACAGGACUCUGGCCUAUCGUGUUGGUCUGUAGGACCGGAGUAAUGAUUAAGAGGGACAGUCGGGGGCAUUCGUAUUCCAUUGUCAGAGGUGAAAUUCUUGGAUUUAUGGAAGACGAACAUCUGCGAAAGCAUUUGUCAAGGAUGUUUUCAUUA